This is a non-coding RNA of Paramuricea clavata, 220 nucleotides long. Lineage: Eukaryota; Metazoa; Cnidaria; Anthozoa; Malacalcyonacea; Plexauridae. The record is from the annotation of a GenBank genome assembly.
ACACGACAGAGGUUGGAAAGAUCAAUGAAGGUGUAAUAUUGUCUGCCCAUGAGGACAAGUUCAAUGUGAAUAGCAAUGGAGAAAGAAAUGGUUUUACGUCGCCCUCAAGAAGAGAUUCGAAAUCCCAUCCUGAACAAUUAGACAACACAGUCACAGAUGAGAAGCACAGCACGAUCUGGUAUUGCCGAUUCGUUGUGUCGCAUACUAGAUUGGCUUUCGG